AAGUCGUAACAAGGUUUCCGUAGGUGAACCUGCGGAAGGAUCAUUAACACGUAUCCAAACGUUAAAACCCCCCCGUGAACCUUCAUCCUGCUCUUGUAACCCGCGUAGUUCGCAAUCUCUGAUAAAUCAUAGCCCGGAAAGUUGUAGUGAUUCAGAGACCUCUGGCUACGUGCGAACAUUGGAACAGUUACAAACGAUUGGGUAAAAAAACCGAACAACUGUUAACAAUGGAUAUCUUGGUUCUC
This 245-nucleotide unclassified non-coding RNA is filed under the name fungal sp. RNAcentral's name for it is "partial internal transcribed spacer region". The stretch from base 1 to 46 matches the Rfam family "Eukaryotic small subunit ribosomal RNA", at positions 1786 to 1831 of the family's 1831-position model. The record is from RNAcentral. Lineage: Eukaryota; Fungi.